GGCCAGACUCCUACGGGAGGCAGCAGUGGGGGAUAUUGCACAAUGGGGGGAACCCUGAUGCAGCGACGCCGCGUGGGUGAAGAAGCGCCUCGGCGCGUAAAGCCCUAUCAGCAGGGAAGAAAAUGACGGUACCUGACUAAGAAGCCCCGGCUAACUACGUGCCAGCAGCCGCGGUAAUACGUAGGGGGCAAGCGUUAUCCGGAUUUACUGGGUGUAAAGGGAGCGUAGACGGCGGCGCAAGUCCGGAGUGAAAGCCCACGGCCCAACCGUGGGACUGCUCUGGAAACUGUGCGGCUUGAGUGCGGGAGGGGCAGGCGGAAUUCCUAGUGUAGCGGUGAAAUGCGUAGAUAUUAGGAGGAACACCGGCGGCGAAGGCGUCUUACUGGACCGAAACUGACGUUGAGGCUCGAAAGCGUGGGGAGCGAACAGGAUUAGAUACCCUAGUA
RNAcentral lists this ribosomal RNA (446 nucleotides) under uncultured bacterium. RNAcentral describes it as "partial 16S ribosomal RNA". It matches the Rfam family "Bacterial small subunit ribosomal RNA", at positions 329 to 792 of the family's 1533-position model. The record is from RNAcentral.